RNAcentral lists this ribosomal RNA (820 nucleotides) under human gut metagenome. Its description in RNAcentral is "bacterial SSU rRNA". It matches the Rfam family "Bacterial small subunit ribosomal RNA", at positions 375 to 1196 of the family's 1533-position model. The record is from RNAcentral.
GCGAGAGCCUGAACCAGCCAAGUAGCGUGCAGGAUGACGGCCCUAUGGGUUGUAAACUGCUUUUAUAAGGGAAUAAAGUGAGCCUCGUGAGGCUUUUUGCAUGUACCUUAUGAAUAAGGACCGGCUAAUUCCGUGCCAGCAGCCGCGGUAAUACGGAAGGUCCGGGCGUUAUCCGGAUUUAUUGGGUUUAAAGGGAGCGUAGGCCGGAGAUUAAGCGUGUUGUGAAAUGUAUAUGCUCAACAUCUGCACUGCAGCGCGAACUGGUUUCCUUGAGUACGCACAAAGUGGGCGGAAUUCGUGGUGUAGCGGUGAAAUGCUUAGAUAUCACGAAGAACUCCGAUUGCGAAGGCAGCUCACUGGAGCGCAACUGACGCUGAAGCUCGAAAGCGCGGGUAUCGAACAGGAUUAGAUACCCUGGUAGUCCGCACGGUAAACGAUGGAUGCCCGCUGUUGGUCUGAAUAGGUCAGCGGCCAAGCGAAAGCAUUAAGCAUCCCACCUGGGGAGUACGCCGGCAACGGUGAAACUCAAAGGAAUUGACGGGGGCCCGCACAAGCGGAGGAACAUGUGGUUUAAUUCGAUGAUACGCGAGGAACCUUACCCGGGCUUGAAUUGCAGAGGAAGGAUUUGGAGACAAUGACGCCCUUCGGGGUCUCUGUGAAGGUGCUGCAUGGUUGUCGUCAGCUCGUGCCGUGAGGUGUCGGCUUAAGUGCCAUAACGAGCGCAACCCCUCUCCUUAGUUGCCAUCAGGUCAGGCUGGGCACUCUGGGGACACUGCCACCGUAAGGUGUGAGGAAGGUGGGGAUGACGUCAAAUCAGCAC